UCCUCGCACUCUGGAGAGCGGCAGCGGCUUCGUCGAAAUGAUCGAGCCAGUUGCCCACCGAAGGGGCGCGCGACGGAUCAUCCGUGAUCCGCGCAAUCUCUCAGGUACCGAGGACAGAGGGGUCACG
Molecule: non-coding RNA, 127 nt
Filed under: Burkholderia sp.
Lineage: Bacteria; Pseudomonadati; Pseudomonadota; Betaproteobacteria; Burkholderiales; Burkholderiaceae
Description: Glycine sequence
Rfam family: Glycine riboswitch aptamer
About the family: This family represents the bacterial glycine riboswitch. Glycine riboswitches usually consist of two metabolite-binding aptamers domains with similar structures in tandem.
Source: RNAcentral